RNAcentral lists this ribosomal RNA (321 nucleotides) under uncultured bacterium. RNAcentral's name for it is "bacterial SSU rRNA". It matches the Rfam family "Bacterial small subunit ribosomal RNA", at positions 28 to 334 of the family's 1533-position model. The record is from RNAcentral.
GAUGAACGCUGGCGGCAUGCCUAAUACAUGCAAGUCGAACGAAGUUUCGAGGAAGCUUGCUUCCAAAGAGACUUAGUGGCGAACGGGUGAGUAACACGUAGGUAACCUGCCCAUGUGUCCGGGAUAACUGCUGGAAACGGUAGCUAAAACCGGAUAGGUAUACAGAGCGCAUGCUCAGUAUAUUAAAGCGCCCAUCAAGGCGCGAACAUGGAUGGACCUGCGGCGCAUUAGCUAGUUGGUGAGGUAACGGCCCACCAAGGCGACGAUCGGUAGCCGGACUGAGGGGUUGAACGGCCACAUUGGGACUGAGACACGGCCCAG